CAUCUACCUUUAUCCUUGGAAGCUCAGGCAGAAGCCCGUUUACUUAUGUUUUCUCAUAUGAAUCUCUUAUCUCCCGCUAUUGGGGAUCCUAUUUGCGUACCAACCCAAGACAUGCUUAUCGGGCUUCCAAAAAAAAUUUAA
This 141-nucleotide ribosomal RNA is filed under the name Triticum aestivum (bread wheat). Its description in RNAcentral is "partial small subunit ribosomal RNA". The record is from RNAcentral. Lineage: Eukaryota; Viridiplantae; Streptophyta; Magnoliopsida; Poales; Poaceae.